This 69-nucleotide transfer RNA is filed under the name Ovis aries (sheep). It matches the Rfam family "tRNA". From Rfam's summary of the family: Transfer RNA (tRNA) molecules are approximately 80 nucleotides in length. RNAcentral also lists the same sequence under 1 other name. Lineage: Eukaryota; Metazoa; Chordata; Mammalia; Artiodactyla; Bovidae. The record is from Rfam by way of RNAcentral.
CCUGGUGGCUUAGAUGGUAAAGAAUCUGCCUGCAAUGCAGGAGACCCGGGUUCAACCCCUGGGUCAGGA